CCCGUAAAUUUUGGGAAUGGUGGGGACAUGGUGGGCACCAUAUUUUCAUUUAUUGGGCUGCACACAUCAAAGUGGAGGGUCCUCCUUUUGUUGGCUAUGAUUGAAGGAAGUGUUGAAAGAAGUUGAUGGAAGGAGCACAUCAUACAACUCUCGGCAUCCAGCAGAUGGAGAAAUCACAUUUCAAUUAUUUCUCUUAAGUGGAGACAACAUAAUGAAGAGAAGGGACCACCACCCCACUUGGAGAAGCACCUCACGGUUUUUCUCUCUAGCUGCACCGAAGUGUCUUCUCUUCCUUUCUAUUGAUGAGCUUCAAGUAAAGACACCAAGGCAACCAUGAGAGACCAACAAGCAUACGUAGCUGCCACAAAAGAAGUCCAGCCAUUACAACCAUGGAAGAAAAAGGGGAGAGAGUUGCUGGAAAAAUCUGGAAGAGUUGCUGCAAGAUCUGGGAGAGGUGAAACGGAGAGCGUCCGGAGCUGCAGCUACAAACCUUGGGAAGAUUGAUUCAAGAGGGGUGUUGGAUGCUGCAUCCAGAGAAGUGGAGAGCUCGUGGAUUUGGAAGGUGAUCCGCACACUGUAUUUCAAGAAUUUCAAGGAGGUCUUCAAGAGAUGUUGUCGAGGAGAGUCCUUUAGAGCAGGAGCUGGAGGAUACUAAGGUUGCGGAGUAGUCUUCUUAGGAGUUUCCCAUAUGGACACGUGUAGUGUUCGACUCUUUAAGCUAUUUAAGUUCGAAUUUCCGUUUUCUUUUAUUUCUGGAUGACUGUAAUUUUACAUUUAAUUACACGUCAUGAUCCGACUGUUCUCUUUAUUGGAAUGUUGACGUCUUGAUUAUGUAAUAUUGGUUAUUAUAUAAUCGGGAUGUUACAUUAAUGGUAUCAGAGCAGUUCGUCCUUAGGAUGACCUUUGUGUUGUGGGUUUGCCGUGUCUUCUCUGUGAAGACUUGAGUGUAGAUGGUAUGAUUUACCAUUUCUUUUAAGUCUAGAUUGUGAGGUGUGUAUCUGACUAGACGUUUUAAGAACAGAAAACAUCUUGAUAAGAGUAAUGGGGGUGCACACUCAUGACUUUUAUCGUAGAUGAUUUUCCUUUCUUAAUUCUGAAGGUUUGAGGUAAGAAAGAGUUAGAGUUUUAGUGUUGUUUCCCUUAGAAUUUCCUGUCUGGUUCUUGUUUUGUGGUGGUGUGAUGUGCUCUAUGGUAAUAGAGGAAUGCAUAUUCGAGGACAACUUGAGUUGUAUACCUUUAUUGGAAUUGGGUUAAGCCUUUGAGACAAGUUCUUGCCUUGAAGACAGGAGAUUGAAGACUAAAAGUUAAGCUUCGGAGGACGAGGUAAGAUAUUGGAGUUUAGAAGUAAUGUUAUGGAUGAAGAAAAUUUCAAGAAAACAAAGUCAGAAGGUCAGAUACCAUGUAUUCCACAAGAAGAGUUGGGUUUGAAGGUUAGAAUAAGAUGAGCUUUGGGGUAAGCAUGGGUGUGACAAAGUUUGAGAGAUCAAUUUAGUUCAGUGUAUCAGUAACGUCAGAGGUUAGAAGAAAGGGAAGUGUUGGUGAGCGACGGAGUAGCAUUGGGUGAGAUUUGUAACAUGGACCAAUAUAUCAGUGAUGGUUGGAAUCUGAAUAAGAGAAGUGAUAGAUGGUUUGAAGCUUAAGUUAAGAAAGAAAUAAGUGGACCACGGGAAAUCGUUAUUUUGAUAGGAAAUAGAAGAAGAAGGGUUUGAGGAACAAUGUGUAAAACAUAGAACGGAUUUAAGGAGGGUGUAAUAGAAGCCGGAUCUCCAAGUUGAGGGAACAUAAAGUGUGUAAGGAGAAUUGGAGUAUUACUGUGAGUUGAAUAACCAAAUGGAGUGGUUAGGCAUUAAUUGCUAUUGGAGAAUGCAUAGUCAAGUUCAGAAGAAUGUUUCAAGAUUAGUAGUUCGUAUAGAAUAAAGGUUUGAUCAUUGGUUGAGAUGAAAGAUUUCAAAUGUUGAAGGAAGGAGUACACCAGAAUGCCAGUUUGGUAAGAAAGUAUAAGGUUAGAGAAUUAAGAGCACAGUGGAUGGAGAAAGGUUUUAGAAUAGAUGAUAAAGGGUGGCUGUAGUAUAAGUUGCUAAAGGAGGUAUCGAGAAUGAUCAGAGAAGUUUGGGUUGGUUGAGAUGUUUAGAGUUAUGAAGUUGCAUGUGGGGAUAAAGUUAAUUUUCUUUGGGUAUGGUUUUAUGGUGAUGUUCAAUGUUCGGCUGAGUUUGAUCAAGAGAGAAGUGGAUGUUGAAUGAUGGAUUUCAGAAGGCAGUGAGUUGGUAGGUUCAGAUAAGGUCAGAAGAUUAGUGGUGUUGGUUAAGAGUAUCUUGAGGUUGGGAAGAUUAAAGAUGGGGUUUGUAUUUUGACGAUUCCGAGUUGAAGAGGGCAAUUCUUGAAGAAGAAAAUUUUAAGUUAAUCGGGACGGGAUGAGUGCAAGAAGGUUUACGAGUGAUGUGGCGUUUGUGGAGUUAAUCUAAGGACUCAAGUUUGAAGUUUAUAUGGAGUGGUUUCUUGACAGGGAAGGAAAACGAAGGUGGUGCAUCAAGUAUAGUUGAGCGAAAGAUGGAAGCAAGUGUUAUGAGAAUUCAAGAUGUCUAUAAAUUGCAAAUGAAGAAGAGAUGAUGUUGUUUUUUUCGUAAGUCUGAGGUGUGAUUCAAGGGAGGUUUGUUGUUUCAAACAAGUUCUCUAGUGCUUUAUAGUCUUUAAUAGAAGCUUCGUAUUUCAAAAAGAAAAGUCACCGGAUAUAUAUAUCAAUUGUGGAUCAAAUUAGAAAGUGAAGAAAAAGGGGUGUGGUAAUCAAAAGAGGUUAGCAUGGAUAUGUGAAAAAGAGAAGAUAAAUCUUUAUGGUGUAAAGGUUUUGGUUGGUUUUCUGCAACAAGUAUGGGAUUUUAUAACUUGGAGAAGUGGAAUUCACUUUGGAGUGGGGUCUUAGGCGACACCAGUGUUCGAAAUUUUUGAGUGGUUCCUGUUUAAGUCGUGCAGUGCAAGAGGAAGAUGAAGGUUGAGUUAGAGCAAUAAUAUUUUGGACUCAGUUUAAUCAUAGGGAGAACUACAAGGUUGAAGAAUCGCAGAAGAGAAAUAGAGGGCAUGUUGGCAUAGGCUAGUAUAAGUCUUAUCAAUCAGGAGUGAUUUCGGGCAUGGUCGCUUUGUGGAGAAGAAAACAUUGUUGAGGAAAUGGAAUGACAAGGCUAUUAUGCAAGGGAAGAGUUUUCAAGGUUUUGUAAGGUCAUAUAAAAGUUCUGAGGAAGGUUCUUCGAGGGUAAUCUUUUGCUGGUUACAGUUAUCAUGAAGGAAGUAUUUCUUUAAGUAAAUUGGUGAGUAAGGAAGUAUAAGGAUCAGAGUAGCGCAGCGGAUGAUGGUGAGCAUGUUAUUGUCAGUAACAGGUAUGCAUGAAGAACUUUCAAAAUUGUAGAUUUGUGGUUGUGAGGGACGAGUUCUUUGAAACAGUAUUGGUGUUGUUAUAUGAGCAUGAGUCGGGGGUGUUUGGUAAUCUUCAAGAGUCAGAAGUGAGUUUAGGUGUGAAAGAAACAUGUGUCAGGCAGGGAAGAUAAGUGAACUUUUGGGUUGCAAGCUACAGGGUCAACUUUAAAGUGAGAAAGUGUUAAUGGCUUUGGAAUGAGAAGAGUGGGUCAAUGGGCGAAGGAGACUAUUUGAGUUGUGGUCUUGAGUUAUAGUGGCAAUCUAGAGGUAAAGUUAUGUUAACAGAUGGUUUGAACAAAGAGAAACUUACCUUGACUAGUUUCGAUAGCCUUAAUUUUCGAGGACGAAAAUUUUUGUUGUUGGGGAGAAUGUAAGACCCGUAAAUUUUGGGAAUGGUGGGGACAUGGUGGGCACCAUAUUUUCAUUUAUUGGGCUGCACACAUCAAAGUGGAGGGUCCUCCUUUUGUUGGCUAUGAUUGAAGGAAGUGUUGAAAGAAGUUGAUGGAAGGAGCACAUCAUACAACUCUCGGCAUCCAGCAGAUGGAGAAAUCACAUUUCAAUUAUUUCUCUUAAGUGGAGACAACAUAAUGAAGAGAAGGGACCACCACCCCACUUGGAGAAGCACCUCACGGUUUUUCUCUCUAGCUGCACCGAAGUGUCUUCUCUUCCUUUCUAUUGAUGAGCUUCAAGUAAAGACACCAAGGCAACCAUGAGAGACCAACAAGCAUACGUAGCUGCCACAAAAGAAGUCCAGCCAUUACAACCAUGGAAGAAAAAGGGGAGAGAGUUGCUGGAAAAAUCUGGAAGAGUUGCUGCAAGAUCUGGGAGAGGUGAAACUGAGAGCGUCCGGAGCUGCAGCUACAAACCUUGGGAAGAUUGAUUCAAGAGGGGUGUUGGAUGCUGCAUCCAGAGAAGUGGAGAGCUCGUGGAUUUGGAAGGUGAUCCGCACACUGUAUUUCAAGAAUUUCAAGGAGGUCUUCAAGAGAUGUUGUCGAGGAGAGUCCUUUAGAGCAGGAGCUGGAGGAUACUAAGGUUGCGGAGUAGUCUUCUUAGGAGUUUCCCAUAUGGACACGUGUAGUGUUCGACUCUUUAAGCUAUUUAAGUUCGAAUUUCCGUUUUCUUUUAUUUCUGGAUGACUGUAAUUUUACAUUUAAUUACACGUCAUGAUCCGACUGUUCUCUUUAUUAGAAUGUUGACGUCUUGAUUAUGUAAUAUUGGUUAUUAUAUAAUCAGGAUGUUACACUACAUGCCAUGUAAUUAAUAUGCCAUAAUUAAGAAAUCUAAAGGAUACCAAAAUAUGACAGAAACAAA
Molecule: long non-coding RNA, 4716 nt
Organism: Vigna angularis (adzuki bean)
Lineage: Eukaryota; Viridiplantae; Streptophyta; Magnoliopsida; Fabales; Fabaceae
Exons: 3
Source: RefSeq, a predicted model, not a curated record